AUGUGCGCCUCGUUCGCGAAAUUCGCCGAACGAUGGAAUCCGCUUCCGGAGACACUGCUCUCGUGGUCCAAGAACAAUUGUGACAAGGUUCAGCCAAGACCAAGGGAUAUGUCAUGUGAAGAUGUUGUACAGGUAGGUGGAGAUUCGGAAAGGUCACGCCCAUUUUUCUGUGCCCUGUAGGGCUGUACAACCGGACGUCCGGUCGUCCGAACCGGACGCACAUGCGUCCGGUUGGGGGUAGCUAUCCACGACGGCCGACAAUUUCCGAGUUUCGCCACUCACUAUAAAAUUGCUGAUUAAGUAUAGUGAGUGGCGAAACUCGGAAAUUGUCGGCCGCCGUGGAAACCUACCCCAAAACCGGACGCAGUGCGUCCGGUGGUGUCAAAAUCGGACGACCGGACGCCGAUUUGUACAGCCCUAGUGUCCUGAAGGCGAGCGGUCUGCUCCACGUUGUGCUCCGAAUCGGGGAAUCUUGAUCGGGAGAAUCUAAAUCUGCCCAUAGAACCUUGAACGUUGCGGAAAAUUCAAUUUUUGCCACGAGUCACACAAAUAUGGGAAAUCUGAAUUUUUGAGCUCAGAUGGGCACAGUUUUGUGGGCGUGGUAUUUACAGGGAACUCAGAUAUAUGGGGAGCCAAGAUCGUGUAAAUUUACAAGGUGGAUCUCCGUAAAUCUACACAAUUUUGGCUCUUCCCGCGCCACGCCCCUUGGGUCCCGAUAUGUAUGCGUCUCUUCAACAGACAACUCUCUGCGGCUUUGUAAUAUUAGUUAGUCGCAAUAACUUGCAAUUUUUGUACCGAAAAUACGGUACCCGGUCUCGACACAAUCUACUUUUGUUGCUAAAUUUCCAGCGAUUUUUUUUUCGAUAAAAAUAUAUUAUGAAAACUCUUAAACUUUGAAAAAUCGUGAGAAAAUCUAUGGGAAAUCGGUGAAACUACAGUAAUCUUUAAAGGCGCACAGUUCAUUUCCAUUUAACCAAUAAUUCACGUGGUGUCAGGCUGUCCCAUGACGGUUUGAUCUACAAAAAAUGCUGGAAUUUUUCUCUCAGCACACUCUUAACUAUGCGAAAUUAGUUUAAAAGUCUGCGUCUCUUCUCCCGCAUUUGGGGCACUUUGACACCACGUGAUAAUUGUCGUGUCAAGACUAAGUUAUAAUUCGCUGCGAGACUCGAAAAAUGAUGUGCAACCUUCCCAACUUUCAGUUCGUCGCGGACUGCAAUUUCAGCGGCGGAGGCCCCGGGCCGGGAAAACUGGCGGACACCACCAACCGCCAGGUCGCCGACACAUUCUACCAGAGGACCUACGAAAACUCGCCGAGAGUCCUGCCAAAGUAUAUCUACUAUAAUGAGAAUACCGCCAGAGACUACGGGCAGUUCGGUAACUGGUACUACCCGAAUUACUAUCCACCAACUUAUCUCGGAUUCUUCGACGGACGGCCGGCAAGUAUGGCACAGCUUGAGAAUGAUUAUAAAUUUGCAAAAGGUGGACAUUAUCCAUAUAACAGAGCCGAUAAUAUUGUGAACAUUGGGCUUCAACAGACAUAUCUUCCAACUUGCCUUCACGACUUGUUCUACUGUGUUCGCGCCAGCAAUGGGCAGAGACCCCAGGCGUAUUUGAACUACAAAGAAUACCGCCGUGACCGUGACCAGGCUGCUGAACAAAUGGCCCAACGGGAUCAAGAUAUCAAGACUCUCCGCCGCCACCGCACCAGACACCACGAGGAUGAUGAAUAA
This is an RNA transcript of Caenorhabditis elegans, 1730 nucleotides long. It is a transcript of the gene named Non-coding transcript of protein-coding gene Y71F9B.13b, with no coding region annotated. NCBI's taxonomy places the organism in Eukaryota, Metazoa, Nematoda, Chromadorea, Rhabditida, Rhabditidae. The transcript has 3 exons. The record is from RefSeq and is marked reviewed.